RNAcentral lists this ribosomal RNA (256 nucleotides) under uncultured bacterium. RNAcentral describes it as "partial 16S ribosomal RNA". It matches the Rfam family "Bacterial small subunit ribosomal RNA", at positions 524 to 777 of the family's 1533-position model. The record is from RNAcentral.
GACGUAGGGUCCGAGCGUUGUCCGGAAUUACUGGGCGUAAAGCGCGCGCAGGCGGCCCGCGAGGUGUCACGUGAAAGCCCCGGGCUCAACCCGGGAGGGUCGUGGGCAAACCGGCGGGCUUGAGGCCGGUAGAGGUGGGUGGGAAUUCCUGGUGUAGCGGUGAAAUGCGCAGAUAUCAGGAGGAACACCGGUGGCGAAGGCGGGUCUCUGGGCAACAACUGACGCUGAGGAGCGAAAGCGUGGGGAGCGAACAGGA